RNAcentral lists this small nucleolar RNA (67 nucleotides) under Clunio marinus. Lineage: Eukaryota; Metazoa; Arthropoda; Insecta; Diptera; Chironomidae. The record is from RNAcentral.
CUUUAUAAUGAUGAUAUUUACCGCCCCAGUCUGAUUUCUAUGAAGACUGGUACCUUACUGAUACAAA